CCUACGGGUGGCUGCAGUGAGGAAUAUUGGUCAAUGGACGAGAGUCUGAACCAGCCAAGUAGCGUGAAGGAUGACUGCCCUAUGGGUUGUAAACUUCUUUUAUAUGGGAAUAAAAUGUUCCACGUGUGGGAUUUUGUAUGUACCAUAUGAAUAAGGAUAGGCUAACUCCGUGCCAGCAGCCGCGGUAAUACGGAGGAUCCGAGCGUUAUCCGGAUUUAUUGGGUUUAAAGGGAGCGUAGGUGGAUUGUUAAGUCAGUUGUGAAAGUUUGCGGCUCAACCGGAAAAUUGCAGUUGAAACUGGCAGUCUUGAGUACAGUAGAGGUGGGCGGAAUUCGUGGUGUAGCGGUGAAAUGCGUAGAUAUCACGAAGAACUCCGAUUGCGAAGGCAGUUCACUGGACUGCAACUGACACUGAGGCUCGAAAGUGUGGGUAUCAAACAGGAUUAGAUACCCCAGUAGUC
This 460-nucleotide ribosomal RNA is filed under the name uncultured bacterium. Its description in RNAcentral is "partial 16S ribosomal RNA". It matches the Rfam family "Bacterial small subunit ribosomal RNA", at positions 338 to 795 of the family's 1533-position model. The record is from RNAcentral.